UGAAUGGCUGAGAAGCACCAUCCUCA
RNAcentral lists this unclassified non-coding RNA (26 nucleotides) under Mus musculus (house mouse). Its description in RNAcentral is "oocyte_clustered_small_RNA10320". Lineage: Eukaryota; Metazoa; Chordata; Mammalia; Rodentia; Muridae. The record is from RNAcentral.